GUUGACUUGAGUGACCCGUAGGAUACCUGAAUGACGGUUUUGCCAAGUUUUAUUAAUUCCAAAUUUCCAAGUAUAGGUACUCCAGUGCUCCGCUAGCAGUUCACAAUUGUUUUUGGGUUUGCCAAAAGACCUCAAAACCUAAAUUCCUCUCCAUUUUCUGGCGGAUUUUGUGCAAAUUCAUACUUUUCCAGAAAUCAAAUUCAGAAACAAUUGUCAAUCGCUCUUAGGGGCAUCAGUCACAAUGUCAGGCAGAAACCCUGGUCCGCCAUUGCCGAUGAAGAACUUGCCUCAUGGAAGGAUUCCGUUUCCACCCCAUGAACCGCCAUAUGGCCGAAAUCUUGGUCCGAUGCCUCACCCUGCACUUCUUGAGGAAAUGAGGGAGAGGGAAUCCCAGUUUGGGAUGGGCCCUAGGUCACUACCCCCUCAUCCUGCUAUCCUCGAGGAACGUCUCGGAGUUCAGCUUCAAGAAAUUCAAGGUUUAUUAGUCGAUAACCAGAGGGUUGCUGCUACCCAUGUUGCAUUGAAGCAGGAAUUAGAAGCUGCUCAUUACGAGUUGCAACGAAUGUCCCAUUAUGGUGAUUCCUUUCACGCAGAAAAGGAUAUGCAGAUGAGAGAAAUGCUUGACAAGGCUGCCAAAUUGGAGAUGGAACUUCAAGCAGCAGAUGCAAUGAAGGCUGAACACAUGCGGGUUCAAUCUGACAUUAAAGAACUUACUGUCGUGAGGCAAGAUCUUAUGGCUCAGGUCCAGAGAAUGAACCAGGAUUUGACUAGAUUUUCUACUGAUUUACAGCAAGUUCCGGCAUUGAAAGCUGAAAUUGAGCAUAUGAGACAGGAGGUUGACAGAGCAAAGGCUGCUAUUGAGUAUGAGAAGAAAGCAUAUGCUGAUAGCUAUGAGCAUGGCCAAAAGUUCCAGGCCAAAAUGCUCUCAAUGGCUAGAGAACUAGAAAAGCUUCGGGCAGAGGUUGCUAAUGCAGAGAAGAGAGCACGUGCUGCUGCUGCUGUUGGCAAUCCUGGAGCAGCGGCAGGUUAUAACACCACUUAUAGCACACCUGAAGCUGGAUACGCAGGAAAUCCCUACCCAGCUGGCUAUGGAGUAAACUUAACACAGCCUGGUAUGGAAAAUUAUUCUCAAUAUGGACCUGGGCCUGGCAAUUGGGGAGCAUAUAACAUGCAACGUGGUCAAGGGCAUAGAUGAAGUGGCUUGCAAUUAUCUGAUGAUGCAGAAUCCUGUUUUGUUUUGCAUGCUGGUCUCUUCAGCUCGAGCUUGAUAGAUGCAUAAGUGUGACUGCGUGAGUAACUUUGAGGGAUCCUUUUACAGAAUAUGGGGAUGCUUCUUUACUAACUAUGGAAAUUUUGCAAGGAGGGUCGAUCUUCCUGCAUGUUAGAUGGGAAUAUAUAAGGUGGGCUCUUUUUGAUGAUUUGUCACAGCUCAGAAUUCACUUUUUGGAAGCUUGCAAUACAAUGCUGCUUAUCAACAGGGAAUUGACUUGUGCAUUCUGUCAUGGAUUAUAUGAUAAUUUGCCAUCUCAAAGAAGUGUUGUCUAAUGAUGACAAAUAAUGAGAUGGGAAAAAGGCAUGCUUCAUGAAAAUCAUCUUCAAGUGGGAGGGGAGGAGGGUAAACCUUGGCUGAGGUAGCCUAUUUCUACACAGAAUGGCAGCGAGGAAAACGGAAAAGAUGCAGGAAUCUUUAGUAACAGUCUUGCACACGUCUUUGUUGUACCCUCUAUAAUCACCCGAAACUUCUCUUGAUUUCCAUAAAUUGGUUUUUGACAACAUGCAUACGACUUCAGUCACGGGGCACCACCACUAAACCACCAUGGUUUUGACACCAAAUGAAAUACUUUUCCAGUACCUAACUAAUUUGUGCACACCUCUUCAACCAUAAAUCCACCAUCACUACCUUGUUCAAAUGCCAGCAACUAUCAUCUUGCCACCACUUGAAACAUUUUUUUAUCAGUCAAAAAACUGCUGGUGACUCGGUUUAUUGUCUCAAGUAAAUUGACAUUUUGUAACUCUGGUGUAUUACCAUUGUAUCAUAUCAUGUACCAAAUUAUGAUUUACAUUGAAGUCAUUAGUUAAUUUU
Molecule: RNA transcript, 2083 nt
Organism: Chenopodium quinoa (quinoa)
Lineage: Eukaryota; Viridiplantae; Streptophyta; Magnoliopsida; Caryophyllales; Amaranthaceae
Gene name: protein FLX-like 1
Exons: 7
Source: RefSeq, a predicted model, not a curated record